This 486-nucleotide long non-coding RNA is filed under the name Coffea arabica (coffee). RNAcentral describes it as "long non-coding RNA (CARA_LNC004108)". The record is from RNAcentral. Lineage: Eukaryota; Viridiplantae; Streptophyta; Magnoliopsida; Gentianales; Rubiaceae.
CGGUGGAACAUUCUCCCGCCGCAUGCCUUCCAACCGGACUUCAAAAAAUGGAAAGAUCAAAGUCAGUAUACGAGGAAAUGAUAAUUUGAAAGAAGUUGUUUUACGCCUCGCCGUAGACCAAAUGUGGCUAAUGAUGAUAUUCGGCAGGGAAAUUCGAGCAAAAAGAGAAUUCCGAUUAUGGAACAUGUAAUCAAGGAAGUAGAUGUCACUCUUGCGAACCUCUGUGUGCCCCGUCUUUUUGGGAAUAACAUUGUGAGCCAUCAUAUAACUAAGGAGACGAUGGCGAGGUUCGAAAAUAUUUGCCAAUAUCGUCUCCUUCCUCGUAGAGCGAAAAGGUUGGUACUCAAUGCCAAAUCUGGCCAUGGCCAAUGAUGGAUCUCACCUCCUAUUUGGGGGAACAAACUCCUUCUUCAAAUCAACUGGACGUCCGUCAUCUAUACAUCUCAAAAUAGCAGCCAAAUCUUGACGUGACAAGACGAUUCGUCG